GGACGAACGCUGGCGGCGUGCCUAAUACAUGCAAGUUGAGCGAUGAAGAUUGGUGCUUGCACCCAUUUGACGAGCAGCGAACGGGUGAGUAACGCGUGGGGACUCUGCCUUUGAGCGGGGGACAACAUUUGGCAACGAAUGCUAAUACCGCAUAACAACUUUAAACAUACGUUUUACGUUUGAAAGAUGCACUUGCAUCACUCAAAGAUGAUCCCGCGUUGUAUUAGCUAGUUGGUGAGGUAAAGGCUCACCAAGGCGAUGAUACAUAGCCGACCUGAGAGGGUGAUCGGCCACAUUGGGACUGAGACACGGCCCAAACUCCUACGGGAGGCAGCAGUAGGGAAUCUUCGGCAAUGGACGAAAGUCUGACCGAGCAACGCCGCGUGAGUGAAGAAGGUUUUCGGAUCGUAAAACUCUGUUGGUAGAGAAGAACGUUGGUGAGAGUGGAAAGCUCAUCAAGUGACGGUAACUACCCAGAAAGGGACGGCUAACUACGUG
Molecule: ribosomal RNA, 498 nt
Filed under: uncultured bacterium
Lineage: Bacteria
Description: partial 16S ribosomal RNA
Rfam family: Bacterial small subunit ribosomal RNA
Source: RNAcentral